This is a non-coding RNA of Biomphalaria glabrata, 72 nucleotides long. Lineage: Eukaryota; Metazoa; Mollusca; Gastropoda; Planorbidae. The record is from Rfam.
GGCGCGGUAGCUGAGCGGUAAAGCGCUUGGCUUCCGAACCGGGGGCCCCGGGUUCGAAUCCUGGUUAAGACU